RNAcentral lists this ribosomal RNA (252 nucleotides) under uncultured bacterium. RNAcentral's name for it is "partial 16S ribosomal RNA". It matches the Rfam family "Bacterial small subunit ribosomal RNA", at positions 524 to 776 of the family's 1533-position model. The record is from RNAcentral.
UACGUAGGUCCCGAGCGUUGUCCGGAUUUAUUGGGCGUAAAGCGAGCGCAGGUGGUUUAUUAAGUCUGGUGUAAAAGGCAGUGGCUCAACCAUUGUAUGCAUUGGAAACUGGUAGACUUGAGUGCAGGAGAGGAGAGUGGAAUUCCAUGUGUAGCGGUGAAAUGCGUAGAUAUAUUGAGGAACACCGGUGGCGAAAGCGGCUCUCUGGCCUGUAACUGACACUGAGGCUCGAAAGCGUGGGGAGCAAACAGG